Molecule: ribosomal RNA, 465 nt
Filed under: uncultured Halanaerobiaceae bacterium
Lineage: Bacteria; Bacillati; Bacillota; Clostridia; Halanaerobiales; Halanaerobiaceae
Description: bacterial SSU rRNA
Rfam family: Bacterial small subunit ribosomal RNA
Source: RNAcentral
CCUACGGGUGGCUGCAGUGGGGAAUCUUCCGCAAUGGGCGAAAGCCUGACGGAGCAACGCCGCGUGAACGAAGAAGGCCUUCGGGUCGUAAAGUUCUGUCCUCAGGGAAGAACCCUCAUGGGAGGAAAUGCCCAUGAGCUGACGGUACCUGGGAAGGAAGCCCUGGCUAACUACGUGCCAGCAGCCGCGGUAAUACGUAGAGGGCAAGCGUUGUCCGGAAUGACUGGGCGUAAAGGGUACGCAGGCGGAUAAGUAAGUCAAAUGUGAAAGGCACCGGCUCAACCGGUGAGCUGCAUUUGAAACUGCCUAUCUUGAGUUCAGGAGAGGAGAGCGGAAUUCCUGGUGUAGCGGUGGAAUGCGUAGAUAUCAGGAAGAACACCAGUGGCGAAGGCGGCUCUCUGGCCUGAAACUGACGCUCAUGUACGAAAGCUGGGGGAGCGAACGGGAUUAGAUACCCUAGUAGUC